Molecule: ribosomal RNA, 253 nt
Filed under: uncultured bacterium
Lineage: Bacteria
Description: partial 16S ribosomal RNA
Rfam family: Bacterial small subunit ribosomal RNA
Source: RNAcentral
UACGUAGGGUGCAAGCGUUAAUCGGAAUUACUGGGCGUAAAGCGUGCGCAGGCGGCUUUGCAAGACAGAUGUGAAAUCCCCGGGCUUAACCUGGGAACUGCAUUUGUGACUGCAUGGCUGGAGUGCGGCAGAGGGGGAUGGAAUUCCGCGUGUAGCAGUGAAAUGCGUAGAUAUGCGGAGGAACACCGAUGGCGAAGGCAAUCCCCUGGGCCUGCACUGACGCUCAGGCACGAAAGCGUGGGGAGCAAACAGG